GUCUCAUCACUGUGACAUGAUGGGGAUAGUUUUAGUUAGUAGACCGUGCCCGGCUGCUCCUGAGAAGGGCUUGCAGCACUCAACUCUUGCUUAUCCURGCAAAUGUGGCUGGAAACUUGGGUGUUACCUCUGUCAAGAUGAUGCACAAAGUACACCUGUGUGGACUCUACCUGCACAGUGAGUUGCUAAAGCACUUUGCUCUGCAAGCUGAAGGUCACAUCUUGACUGGAUUGAAAGCRCUCCAGGGUUAGGAAGGGAUUCCURCAUGUACUGUGGUCACAUCUCUYGAUGGCAGUGUAGACAUUUCCUUAAUAGGGAAAUAGGGAAGCUGAAUGCGGCUUAUACACAGUACCUCAGUKCUAUAGGAAUCAACUCACCGUGUGUAAGGACAUCUGAAUAGAAGAAUAAGUUGCAAGAGACUGGGAAAAAGAUACUGAAGUCAGGCUAGAAAUAAUGGAUAACUGGCAUAUGAUGAGAGCACAUGGUAACAGGCUGAAGAGGAGAAAGAAUAAGCAAGCAACAUAUAAGGAUGUCGCCGUUCCUGAAGAACGUGCAGCAUCUUUCGGUAGUCAUGGGUGAACGUCUUUGACUGCAGCRCCAGUCUGGGAACUAGGAACCAGGGCCACUACCUGAACAGGAACCCUCUGCCCAGGUGGGAAGGACCUCUUUGAAAAGUCAACAAAGUCCAUGUGCUCAUGUCCUGCUGGCCACUCAGCAGAAAUGAAAGACCACCUCCCAGAGCUGCAGAGAUCCCAGAUGGUUUCGGAACAGAGAGAAAGCUGAAGAGGCAGGACAUGUCCCCUCAACACAUAGGAUUGGACAAGGGCUUCUGCUGUCCUUCCUGCCUCUCAGGAUUUAUGGCGCACGUGCUCUGCCAUGAGUCUACUCCUAGUUCUGUCCAGGAAAUACCAGGCAAAAAUAUUGCAGCUCUGGAGAAAAUGCUGAGACAGUACCAGAAGAUGAUCUGCACCGUGCUGCGGGCAGCGAAACGGAAGCUGACCAGACAGGCCAUCUGGCAAGGCUUCUCAGUGCCUCGUAGGACUGGGUCUGCUCUUCUUCUGACUGAAAUUCUUCAGGAAGCAUCAGGCUGUAGCUAGCUCCACAUAAGGGGUCCAGAGAACUAGAUGCCUUUGGUUUCCAACCCAAGGUCAGUGGAGAGGACACAAUUGGAAUGUGUAUAAAGACAGCUGCCAUUCUUAAUAGUCUUCUCGCUAUGGUUCACUCUAUUGUUCAAUAUGUGGACUGAAAGGAUGGAGAACUGGCUGAACUGCAAGGCCCAAAGGGCUGUGAUCAGCAAGUCCAACUGGCAGCUGUUAAAAGUGGCAUUCCUCACUGGUCGGUAUGGUUUAAUAUCCUUAUGGAAGAUCUGGAUGAUGGACUGAAUACACCCUCAGCAAGUCUGUGGAUGUUCCCAAGCUGGAGAAAGUGAAGGAAAUGCUGGAGGGCAGGGCUGCUAUUCAGAGGGACCUGGAGAAACAGCCUAAGAAGAACAUYGUGAGGAACAUCAUGAAGCUCAGCAAAGGCAAAUGCUAAGUUCUGCAUUUGGGAUGGACCAGCCCCAGGCAAGAGAACAUUCUGGGACUGACUGGUUAGAAAGCAGUUUUGCAGAAAAGGGUCGGGGGGUUCUGGUGGACAACAUGUGGAACAUGAGUUAGCAGUGUGCUCUUGCAGCAAAGACCAACUGCAUCCUGGGCUGUAUUUGUGAGAGUGUAGCCAGCAGGGCCAAGGAAGGGAUUGUUCCCCUCUAUUAGGCACUGAUGAGACCACAUCUGGAGUGCUGUGUCUAGUUUGGGCUCCCCAGUGCAAGACAGACAUUGAUAUACUGUGGCAAGUCCAGUGGGGGUCACCAAGACAGUCAGACRCUGAAGCACAUGCUGUAUGAGAAGAGGCAGAAGGAGAUGGGUUUGUUCAGCCUGGAGAAUAAAAGGUAAAGGAGGGAUCUUAUUGCUGUCUAC
RNAcentral lists this long non-coding RNA (1955 nucleotides) under Apteryx rowi (Okarito brown kiwi). Its description in RNAcentral is "lncRNA (ENSARWG00000005544.1)". Lineage: Eukaryota; Metazoa; Chordata; Aves; Apterygiformes; Apterygidae. The record is from RNAcentral.